GGAAGGAUCAUUAAUGAAUGUGUCUCCGGACAUGAUUUCUUUAAACACUUGUGAACUUAUAUGUGUUUGCUUUGGUUAGUCAUUAUUGACUGGCCAAAAGAUUUUUACAAACACCUUUUAUCAAGAAAUUUAUUUUGAAACUGAAUUAUAUUAAUUAUUCAAAACUUUCAACAACGGAUCUCUUGGUUCUGGCAUCGAUGAAGAACGCAGCGAAAUGCGAUAAGUAAUGUGAAUUGCAGAAUUCAGUGAAUCAUCGAAUCUUUGAACGCACAUUGCGCCCCUUGGUAUUCCGAGGGGCAUGCCUGUUCGAGCGUCAUUACAACCCUCAAGCACUGCUUGGUAUUGGGCUCCGCUGGCUCCAGCGGGCCUUAAAAUCAGUGGCGGCGCCGUUUGGGCUCUGAGCGUAGUAAAUAUCCUCGCUAUAGAGACCAGGCGGUUCUUGUCAUCAACCCC
RNAcentral lists this unclassified non-coding RNA (453 nucleotides) under uncultured fungus. Its description in RNAcentral is "partial contains ITS1, 5.8S rRNA and ITS2". The stretch from base 163 to 316 matches the Rfam family "5.8S ribosomal RNA". Lineage: Eukaryota; Fungi. The record is from RNAcentral.